RNAcentral lists this ribosomal RNA (254 nucleotides) under uncultured bacterium. Its description in RNAcentral is "partial 16S ribosomal RNA". It matches the Rfam family "Bacterial small subunit ribosomal RNA", at positions 524 to 776 of the family's 1533-position model. The record is from RNAcentral.
UACGUAGGGUGCAAGCGUUAAUCGGAAUUACUGGGCGUAAAGCGUGCGCAGGCGGUUAUUUAAGUCAGGGGUGAAAGCCCUGGGCUUAACCUAGGAAUUGCGCUUGAGACUGGAUAGCUUGGAGUGCGGCAGAGGGAGGUGGAAUUCCACGUGUAGCAGUGAAAUGCGUAGAGAUGUGGAGGAACACCGAUGGCGAAGGCAGCCCCCUGGGCUGAGAUUGACGCUCAGGCACGAAAGCGUGGGGAGCAAACAGG